This is a long non-coding RNA of Perca flavescens (yellow perch), 950 nucleotides long. RefSeq lists it as uncharacterized. The record is from RefSeq and is a predicted model, not a curated record. Lineage: Eukaryota; Metazoa; Chordata; Actinopteri; Perciformes; Percidae. The transcript is spliced from 3 exons.
CGGACACGCGCUUCACAACGCGAGUGGGCACACGUGCCACUCGGAGAAAGGAAAAAAAGAGACAGGCUGUCCGGAGGACCCGGUUGAGAUGGCAUGUGUGCAUCCUUGAGAACUAAACUGAUAGAAAAGCUCAAACUCCUACAUUUGAAUGACCAAGUCUCUUGGGGAGGGAGGGUCAUCCCCCUGGCUGGGCUGUUCAUGCAUAUUGGCACACAAUGGGGAGAAAGCAACAAGUUUACCCAUGAGUCUCCACCCCACAACUCCCAACCGGUUACGCUGAAGUUGCGGGAUCCACCUACUCUGGCAUGGCAAGAGUUUGAACGCGGCUACGAGCAAAAAAAGUGCUCCUUUGGCUAAAUCUGCCCCUUCGAAAGUCUGCCCUUCUGCAGCCAAACGGUCAUUCAGCGUUUCUAUUUCUCGGCGUACUGAGAGUCAAACAGGUCACAUGUUAAAAGACUGACAGCAAUAAGACCAACUGCACUCUGCACUGCACAGCACGAGAUUCACUGCCAUCAAUGGCGCCAUGUUCAGACCAGGUUACUUGCCAGGGAAGAAUAGGAGCUUUGUGUUUAUAAAAGCCUAUCAGAGAGGCUCAGGUCAGAAAAUAAACAUGCUGGGUCUUUGUUAGGUACUGUAGCUACUUGUUCCACGAGCAGACAUCAUGGGAGAUAUCCUGCUUAAAAAGUCCUGCAAUGGCCUCUUUGAAACAGAAAUCUCUAAGGAUCAGACCAAAAAUCAGCAGUGACACCAACAAAUGCUUGUGCUUGUAAUUGAAUUUAUCAUUUGGUUUAUAGCAAUGUUGUUACUUUACUAAUUACUGCAAAUGUCAAACUGAAUGCCAUUCUUAUCCGUUGUUUUAACAGCAACAGUAAUCAAUGUGAGAAUGACUUAUUGUUCCUUUAAGCAAUGCAAUUGUUAUUUUUUUCAAAGAAAGUCAAAUAGUUGUUGAA